UACAGAGGUCCCAAGCGUUGUUCGGAUUCACUGGGCGUAAAGGGUGCGUCGGCGGUCGGGUAAGUCUGAUGUGAAAUCUCGCAUCUUAACUGCGAAACUGCAUUGGAAACUAUCUGACUAGAGGAAUGGAGGGGAGACUGGAAUACUUGGUGUAGCAGUGAAAUGCGUAGAUAGCAAGUGGAACACCAGUGGCGAAGGCGAGUCUCUGGACAUUUCCUGACGCUGAGGCACGAAGGCCAGGGGAGCAAACGGG
RNAcentral lists this ribosomal RNA (253 nucleotides) under uncultured bacterium. Its description in RNAcentral is "partial 16S ribosomal RNA". It matches the Rfam family "Bacterial small subunit ribosomal RNA", at positions 524 to 776 of the family's 1533-position model. The record is from RNAcentral.